AUGUCCAAACUGCCCCUGCCCUACUCAGUCCAUCCCAACGGGGUACAUCUCUCACCGAGCACGCGGGAAGACCUGAGGCGGAGAUGGAGCUCCGGCGGAGGUGGCCGUGGCUCUGCCCCCGCUGGCCUUGUUGCUCACCCAGCCCGGAAAACCUGGGCCUCUCCAAGCACGGUGCUGGGGCGGGCGCGGAUGAGGCGACGGCGAGGUAGCGCGCGGCGGCUGGGCUCGACAUACAGCCACCGGUCUGCUCGUGGAGCACCUGCUUGGGGAGAGGAGCAGAAGCCGGACGGACGACGACGCCUCGAGGCGGACGGCCAGCGGAUGAUGUGUGCGUGGGCGUGCUUGUGUGUGCCACCUGGGCGUGAGUGCGUGCUCUGUGCAUGUGUUGUGUUUGUGUGCGUGAGUGCUCUAGCAGUUGCGCGCCCGGCUGUUGCUGCUGCUACUGCUGCAUGCACAGAGAAGGACGCCACUGUCCGAACUCGCUCAACUCGCCAAGCUCGCCAUGGACAGCCACCGUCGUCCCCGGGCAUGGACCGUGGACGGCACCCUCCGCGCGCCACAUCCAGCACGACUCGUGGCCACGGCGGUCACGUGCGCGUGGAGAUGCACGCGCGUCUAUUGGUGCUCGUGGCGGACAGCACGGUCCACGCCGUCAUGGGUGACCAGUGCAGGGAGUGCGGCGCCUUCCUCCGAGAGCUCGACUGGUCUAUAGGUGUUGCCCUUCGCCCGAGGAUCUCGUCCAUGGACUGCGCCUCGAGGCCCCAGGCCGGGCGCGUGAGGCCCAAAUGCUCUGGUGUGACUGAAUGCAUAAACUGCAGCUCUGCUCGAUUUAUUCUUGGGGCUGAAAGAUUGAUGCUUUUUACGCCUCGUUUUGCUCCCAAGAAUUGA
RNAcentral lists this ribosomal RNA (888 nucleotides) under Triticum aestivum (bread wheat). RNAcentral describes it as "partial small subunit ribosomal RNA". Lineage: Eukaryota; Viridiplantae; Streptophyta; Magnoliopsida; Poales; Poaceae. The record is from RNAcentral.